Molecule: ribosomal RNA, 209 nt
Filed under: Siboglinum fiordicum
Lineage: Eukaryota; Metazoa; Annelida; Polychaeta; Sabellida; Siboglinidae
Description: partial large subunit ribosomal RNA
Rfam family: Eukaryotic large subunit ribosomal RNA
Source: RNAcentral
UCCCGCAGUAACGGCGAGUGAAGUGGGAAGAGCCCAGCACCGAAUCCCCUGCUCGCGCGGGCAGCGGGAACUGUGGUGUAUAGGACAGCCUCUGCGACGUCGACCGGUCGUCUAAGUCCCCCUGAUCGGGGCUUUGACCCAUAGCGGGUGUUAGGCCUGUACGGCCGCCGGUCGCGUCGCUCUGUGCAUCCUGGGAGUCGGGUUGUUUG